Molecule: long non-coding RNA, 1145 nt
Organism: Mustela erminea (ermine)
Lineage: Eukaryota; Metazoa; Chordata; Mammalia; Carnivora; Mustelidae
Exons: 4
Source: RefSeq, a predicted model, not a curated record
CAUGAGGUCACACACACUCCGCCCUUCGCGCUGUGUAUCCAGAACCGUUUAAUGCGGCCGAUCUCAGCAAUGGGUACGUCGGAAGCGCUUGCCUUGAACAAAGGAGCGUUUGAAACGGACACGGGCUCAAGGACAAGGCAAGAAAAGGCGCUAUCGGCAAGCCACACUGAACACUAUCUCCAACAUAGCUCCAUAGAAGUAGCCCAGAGAUGUUGUCCAGGGUAAGAGGCAGUCUGCAUCAACAGAGACCUCUGAAGCUCUUCCCCUAAAAACAGAGUUUAUUUGGAACAGAGCGUGGAAAAACUCAAGACUAUAGGCACUCUUUAAAACAAUGCAGAUUUUGGUGGUAAACAAGCUUUGGCUUGAGUCUUCCCAUCAGCAUGGAAUGCCUGCUCUGAACUUGAUUUCUGGUCCAGUUGUGAAAGAAUGUACUUGAAGAUUUAAGUUGAUACGGACACCCGCUACCCUGCAAGUCUGGUGAAUUUCUUCCUCCAGCUUUAGUGAGAUACGAACGUCCGUUGACAGAUGAAUGCAUGAAGAAAAUGUGGUGUAGACGAAGCACUAUUAUUCAGCCAUAUGGAAACAGGAGUUCCUGGGUUUUUGACAGCAUGGAUGGACCUCGAGGGCUUUAUGCUAAAUGAAACCAGUCAGACAGAGAAAGACAAAUCCUAUACAAUUUCACAUAAGUGGAAUCUAAAAAUAUCAACUCACAGAAACACAGAGUGAAAUGGCGGUGCGGGGGCUGGGAGGGUGGAAGAAAGGGGCUGGUCAAAGGGCACAAACUCUUAGUCACAAGACCAACACGUUCUGGGGAUCUCCCGUGGAGCGUGCUGAGUAUAGCCAACAAGGCUGUAUUAUACCCUUGAAAGUCCCUAUCAGAGAAGAGCCUGAAUGUUUUCACUAUAACAACAAAAUGGUAAUUACGUGACGUGAAGGAUUUGUUCACUACCCUUAUGAUGAUAAACAUUUUGCAAUAUAUAUGUGAAUUGAAUGAGCACAUGUACACCGUAAAUUACACCCAGUGUCAAUUUUAUCACAAAGCUGGGGAAAAAAGCAAAUUGAAGAAGUAAACGUUGGCAUCGUCACCAUGCGCCGUCUUCCCACUCAGGAGCAGCAUUUACUCAAUAAAGCCUUUUCUAAGCUAC